AUUUUUAGUGAAUUGUAAGUGUGUAUUUGGAGGUGUUGCAUGGUGAUUUUAGUGUGUUUUGGCGUAGUUUCGAGUUUUAAUUGUUUUGGAUGUGUAAAAUAAUCUGCCUGCAUGUGCCAAACACAUGACACAUUGGGUCAGCCUGGCUCUGCGACGGCGCUGGACCAAAACAAAACACUGGCAGCUGAGGAAGUUACAGCUGAUUCAAGGUUAUCAACAUGGGGCGCAGUGCACAUUGCAGUAAGUGCUGCAUAUGUGGGAAAAAGAAGAGCACGCACCCGGGAACAAGACUACACUUGUUCCCGAAAGAUCCAAGAAGACGCUUGCAAUGGCUGCAGGCGCUCAAUAUCACCUAUAAAAGUGAAUCACAGGCUGUCUGCACUGACCAUUUUGACUCCAAAUGGCAUGCCUGUAAAGGGCGGCUGCUCAACAAUGCAGUGCCAAACUCUGUAGAUGGCUGUGAUGAACAAGGCACUGACACUUAUCAGGAUUGGCAAGAGGACAUAGAUGCCCCUAAAAUGGGAAACACAGAUGUCAUUUCAGAAGAACUGCCGUUCAAUUAUAAGUAUGAUGUCAGCUUUGGGGAAAUCAAUAGUACCCGAGAUACAGCAGACUCCUUGAUUCGAGUUCCCAGUCCUGUGGAGGCCACAUUACAUAAUGUAACUCAUGGAGGAGAUCACAGCAACAUGAACCACCAAGAGCCACACACUACGGCAUCCUCCUUACCAGCUUCUAGUCUGACUCCUGAAGAUCUUGAUGCAGAUGAUGUAGGUGAUGGGUAUAAGUGAUGGAGAGAGCUAGGGAAAGUGUUCAACAAUGGAAGAUGCUACAACACGCAGCUGCUCAUCAACCAUCAUUCCGAUUUCUUUGUCUUUUCAAAGAUCACAAAGGUGAUCAUGAAAGUGACCCAGAAGACACUGAGUAUAGUUCAGAUGAUGAUCUUGCUUUCUGGCAAAAGAUGAAAAGACAUGCAAAACAAAG
RNAcentral lists this unclassified non-coding RNA (981 nucleotides) under Portunus trituberculatus (swimming crab). RNAcentral describes it as "zinc finger and BTB domain-containing protein 41- like, transcript variant X2". Lineage: Eukaryota; Metazoa; Arthropoda; Malacostraca; Decapoda; Portunidae. The record is from RNAcentral.